This 1315-nucleotide long non-coding RNA is filed under the name Bos taurus (domestic cattle). Its description in RNAcentral is "long non-coding RNA NONBTAT030517". The record is from RNAcentral. Lineage: Eukaryota; Metazoa; Chordata; Mammalia; Artiodactyla; Bovidae.
GUAGUUACAUGGUUUUCAAUAGCUGCAAAUUGAAAGGGAGCUGCAAACUGCAAAGGGAGCUGGCAAAUAUCUUUUAACUUGAUGCACAACGUGCCCACUCAGACAUUACUAACGGAGAAGAGGAUAACAAAUACUGAGAGACAAUUAGCCAAUUCUAUCACACAUCCUAAUUGCAAAAUUAUACCUGCCAUUACCAAACCCCCAAAUGAAGAUAUCUCUUGUGUAAACACUUUUAGACAUUGCUGUCAUAAAAAUGCACAUGAAGCCAGUCAGGUUUCCUUGAAUAAAUAAGAAUUCACGUCUUUUUCAUGAGAUUUUUAAAGAGAAUGGGGGGAAGAAAGACACCCUUUACCAAGGCCUGCUGUGUGCCAACCACAGAGCCUUUGCAUCUGCAUCUCAUUGAUUGUCUACUACCAGGAGUAGUAGGAAGUCUAACUUUCUAUAAUGGUCAAGGUGGGCUGGAUUUGAUGUAGUUAAAGAGAAAAUUCCUGCUUACUUGUUGGGAGGGGGAUAGGGGAGUGAAGGAAUCAUGCAAGAGUUCCUAUAGAUCAAAGAAGGGGACAUGACCACCCCUAUCUUCCAGCAGGUGACCAAGUGCUGAGAACUGGAAACAUCAUUGGCUGAUGGUUCAGGGUUAGAACGAAGCUCGUAGAAGCCAGGAUCACUGCCUCACCACCUUUGUAUCUAGCGCCUGGCCCACAUCCUCACACACCCAAGAAGACUGAUAAAUGUUAGUUUGCCAAAGGAAAGUUUUAAAAUCCCCCCUAAUCUCCCGCAUGAACCUCAAUCAUCUUUCUAGAACCAGUCUUCCUGAAAGAAUUAACUUCUGCAGCAUCAUUCCUAGAAUAGAUGGUGAAAAAGAUAAGAACUUGCUGAAAAUUAGGUUCCACUCAACUUCAUCCACAUUGCCUGCCACCCAAGAGAAAAAAUUCCCCAAUGCAGCAUGGAUGCCAGCCUUCUAAUGGAGGAAACACUUAUUUUGACUUUCAUGCUACAGUACAAUUUGAUGUGUCAAAACUCUUGUCUUUAAUUUGCCCUUUUACAAGGACGUCAUAACAAAUGUUACAAAAGGGAAAUACAUUUUUUCUGAUGAUGAGGUUACAUAGCAGACUAAUCACUUUCGCUUUUCUGAAGAAUCAAGUGCUGGUGUUGUUAUUAGGGAUUGUCAGCUAAAUAAUUUAAGCUGUGCUAUUUACGUAAGUCCUUAAUUACUGCUGGGAUUUGAACAGUAAGAUAGAGUUAAUGAUCUUUUCUGUCACAUCUCUUCUGUAAUGUGAUGACUUUUGGGAGCUUCCUCCUUCUAAUUGCAUAAAAC